GUUACCAGCACGUAUGUGGGCGACUCCUAAGGAGACUGCCGGUGACAAACCGGAGGAAGGUGGGGAUGACGUCAAGUCAUCAUGGCCCUUACGGCCUGGGCUACACACGUGCUACAAUGGUCGGUACAAAGGGUUGCCAAGCCGCGAGGUGGAGCUAAUCCCAUAAAACCGAUCGUAGUCCGGAUCGCAGUCUGCAACUCGACUGCGUGAAGUCGGAAUCGCUAGUAAUCGUGAAUCAGAAUGUCACGGUGAAUACGUUCCCGGGCCUU
RNAcentral lists this ribosomal RNA (269 nucleotides) under uncultured Pseudomonas sp. RNAcentral's name for it is "partial 16S ribosomal RNA". It matches the Rfam family "Bacterial small subunit ribosomal RNA", at positions 1114 to 1382 of the family's 1533-position model. Lineage: Bacteria; Pseudomonadati; Pseudomonadota; Gammaproteobacteria; Pseudomonadales; Pseudomonadaceae. The record is from RNAcentral.